This 483-nucleotide ribosomal RNA is filed under the name Listeria monocytogenes. RNAcentral's name for it is "bacterial SSU rRNA". It matches the Rfam family "Bacterial small subunit ribosomal RNA", at positions 1056 to 1533 of the family's 1533-position model. Lineage: Bacteria; Bacillati; Bacillota; Bacilli; Caryophanales; Listeriaceae. The record is from RNAcentral.
CAGCUCGUGUCGUGAGAUGUUGGGUUAAGUCCCGCAACGAGCGCAACCCUUAAGCUUAGUUGCCAUCAUUAAGUUGGGCACUCUAAGUUGACUGCCGGUGACAAACCGGAGGAAGGUGGGGAUGACGUCAAAUCAUCAUGCCCCUUAUGAUUUGGGCUACACACGUGCUACAAUGGACAAUACAAAGGGCAGCGAAACCGCGAGGUCAAGCAAAUCCCAUAAAGUUGUUCUCAGUUCGGAUUGUAGUCUGCAACUCGACUACAUGAAGCUGGAAUCGCUAGUAAUCGUAGAUCAGCAUGCUACGGUGAAUACGUUCCCGGGUCUUGUACACACCGCCCGUCACACCACGAGAGUUUGUAACACCCGAAGCCGGUGGAGUAACCAUUUGGAGCUAGCCGUCGAAGGUGGGACAAAUGAUUGGGGUGAAGUCGUAACAAGGUAGCCGUAUCGGAAGGUGCGGCUGGAUCACCUCCUUUCUAAGGA